UGUGAGGUUAAGCGACUAAGCGUACACGGUGGAUGCCCUGGCAGUCAGAGGCGAUGAAGGACGUGCUAAUCUGCGAUAAGCGUCGGUAAGGUGAUAUGAACCGUUAUAACCGGCGAUUUCCGAAUGGGGAAACCCAGUGUGAUUCGUCACACUAUCAUUAACUGAAUCCAUAGGUUAAUGAGGCGAACCGGGGGAACUGAAACAUCUAAGUACCCCGAGGAAAAGAAAUCAACCGAGAUUCCCCCAGUAGCGGCGAGCGAACGGGGAGGAGCCCAGAGCCUGAAUCAGUGUGUGUGUUAGUGGAAGCGUCUGGAAAGGCGCGCGAUACAGGGUGACAGCCCCGUACACAAAAAUGCACAUACUGUGAGCUCGAUGAGUAGGGCGGGACACGUGGUAUCCUGUCUGAAUAUGGGGGGACCAUCCUCCAAGGCUAAAUACUCCUGACUGACCGAUAGUGAACCAGUACCGUGAGGGAAAGGCGAAAAGAACCCCGGCGAGGGGAGUGAAAAAGAACCUGAAACCGUGUACGUACAAGCAGUGGGAGCACGCUUCGGCGUGUGACUGCGUACCUUUUGUAUAAUGGGUCAGCGACUUAUAUUCUGUAGCAAGGUUAACCGAAUAGGGGAGCCGAAGGGAAACCGAGUCUUAACUGGGCGUUAAGUUGCAGGGUAUAGACCCGAAACCCGGUGAUCUAGCCAUGGGCAGGUUGAAGGUUGGGUAACACUAACUGGAGGACCGAACCGACUAAUGUUGAAAAAUUAGCGGAUGACUUGUGGCUGGGGGUGAAAGGCCAAUCAAACCGGGAGAUAGCUGGUUCUCCCCGAAAGCUAUUUAGGUAGCGCCUCGUGAAUUCAUCUCCGGGGGUAGAGCACUGUUUCGGCAAGGGGGUCAUCCCGACUUACCAACCCGAUGCAAACUGCGAAUACCGGAGAAUGUUAUCACGGGAGACACACGGCGGGUGCUAACGUCCGUCGUGAAGAGGGAAACAACCCAGACCGCCAGCUAAGGUCCCAAAGUCAUGGUUAAGUGGGAAACGAUGUGGGAAGGCCCAGACAGCCAGGAUGUUGGCUUAGAAGCAGCCAUCAUUUAAAGAAAGCGUAAUAGCUCACUGGUCGAGUCGGCCUGCGCGGAAGAUGUAACGGGGCUAAACCAUG
RNAcentral lists this ribosomal RNA (1154 nucleotides) under Escherichia coli. RNAcentral's name for it is "partial 23S ribosomal RNA". It matches the Rfam family "Bacterial large subunit ribosomal RNA", at positions 1 to 1191 of the family's 2925-position model. The record is from RNAcentral. Lineage: Bacteria; Pseudomonadati; Pseudomonadota; Gammaproteobacteria; Enterobacterales; Enterobacteriaceae.